RNAcentral lists this transfer RNA (66 nucleotides) under Chrysodinopsis sp. EMHAU-1507081. Its description in RNAcentral is "tRNA-Pro". The record is from RNAcentral. RNAcentral also lists the same sequence under 1 other name. Lineage: Eukaryota; Metazoa; Arthropoda; Insecta; Coleoptera; Chrysomelidae.
CAAGAGGUAUUUUAAUUAAAAUAUUAAUUUUGGAGAUUAAUGAUAGAAUUUACUUUUUUCUCUUGA